GUAGGUGGCAAGCGUUGUCCGGAAUUAUUGGGGCGUAAAGCGCGCGCAGGUGGGUUCUUUAAGUCUGAUGUGAAAAGCCCCCGGGCUCAACCGGGGAGGGUCAUUGGAAACUGGGGAACUUGAGUGCAGGAGAGGAAAGUGGAAUUCCACGCGUAGCGGUGAAAUGCGUAGAUAUGUGGAGGAACACCAGUGGCGAAGGCGACUUUCUGGCCUGUAACUGACACUGAGGCGCGAAAGCGUGGGGAGCAAACAGGAUUAGAUACCCUGGUAGUCCACGCCGUAAACGAUGAGUGCUAAGUGUUGGGGGGUUUCCGCCCCUCAGUGCUGCAGCUAACGCAUUAAGCACUCCGCCUGGGGAGUACGGUCGCAAGACUGA
RNAcentral lists this ribosomal RNA (376 nucleotides) under uncultured organism. Its description in RNAcentral is "partial 16S ribosomal RNA". It matches the Rfam family "Bacterial small subunit ribosomal RNA", at positions 527 to 897 of the family's 1533-position model. The record is from RNAcentral.